Molecule: unclassified non-coding RNA, 22 nt
Filed under: Mus musculus (house mouse)
Lineage: Eukaryota; Metazoa; Chordata; Mammalia; Rodentia; Muridae
Description: oocyte_clustered_small_RNA13218
Source: RNAcentral
UCAAGCAAUGCCAGUUCUGUCU